RNAcentral lists this long non-coding RNA (1845 nucleotides) under Homo sapiens (human). Its description in RNAcentral is "HSALNT0165037". The record is from RNAcentral. Lineage: Eukaryota; Metazoa; Chordata; Mammalia; Primates; Hominidae.
GCGGGGGCGGCUUCGGCCGGGAGCCGGCGGAGCCCGCUUCGGAUUCCAGGUGUGGCAGUGACUCCGCGCUCCACGUUUUGCAGGCUGCCACCGUGUCGGAGGCGAGGCGAGGAAGGGAGCUGGAAUAACAAAGGUGGCAGCUGAGCAUCCCUGGAGAGGGUGGGUGGUAUGAAAGCACUUCCAGACCUCUAGGGACACCAGGGAGUCAUGGUCCCAGCACAUUGCUGUGUGAUUGAGCCCCUCCUCAGCCUGUGGGUGGCCUAAGUUCACAGGGAGGUAAUGGGGUAGAUUGGAUACCUCUGGGGUCUUGGAAGAAGCUAUGACUUAUUUACUGUCUACUAUGUGGGAGCUCAGGAGGGGGAAUUGCACUGAAGAUUUGUCCCAUCGUGAAGCAAGAGCACUGGAACUUACACUCCACCAUCAGGCCCUGUCACAGGAGAACAAAGAAGGAAGGCAGAGGAGAUCAUGCUCCGGCCAGCAGGGAAUCUCCAUUUUUUUCAGCCUCAUACCUUGGAAAGUACAAAGGAGUGAGAGCUGGGACUACCAGCCAGAGGGUUCAUGGAGGUAGUGGGAGGGGAAGAUGGGUUCUGCAUGGAGCCACUCCAGGGACUUUUCUUCUGUCUCACAGCCUGACAAUCACCUCUAGCUGUUCUCAGUCCCAUUCUCAUCAAUGACCUCGUCUCCUGAUUUUGUACAAUAUCUAGGUGACCUUCUCUUCUUUCCAUCUUCAAACGCUUGAUCAUUGAUGCUCCCUUUUCUCUUCUCUCUCCUCCUGGGAAAAGAGAAGGACCAACAUCCCCCUUUCCCUUCCUCCUGUGCUGUCCCGACCCCUCUGAGACCUGGCUCUAGCAGUAAGUCCCUCUCUCUUCUGCAGCACCAGCCUCUGCCCAUCCCUGCCCUCUGCACACAAAGCUCUCACAUUGUCUGCACUUUAAGAACUUUUGUGGCAAACCCUGGCAAAUCCUGCCACUUGUUUCCACUCUUCUCAAAUGGCUUUGAGGUCAUCAUUGACCUAUCCCAUUUGACCCUGUCCUGUAUCUGAUGUUGUACCCUUUCUCCUUGAUCCCACUCUGGCAACUCUCCCACUCCCCUUUCUUGGAUCAACUGUCUUGCUCCUCAGUCUUGAUCAAUGCCUCCUUCUCUCUCUUUAGCCUUGGCCCUUUUUGGCCAGGGAAAUAAAUGUGAAAUACAUAAAGCUUCAUUUUAUCUUAUGAUUAUAGCUAUGUUGAUGUUACCCAAGACCUAAAAGUCACACUCUCUAAUUACACUUCCCUCCUGUGUUCUGGGUCCUCUUGGACCAGUCCUUACUCUGGCUCCCCUCCUGGAUGUCUCCCAGACUUCUAAUUAGAAUUACUGUUUCCUAUAUCAAGCUAAUUAUCUUUCCCACCAACCUCCUCCAUCCUUGGGUGAAAGCAUCACUUGGUUGCAAAAGUCAGAAAUCUGGGUUUCAUUCUUGCGGUAGGUAGAAUAAUGCCCCCAGGCCCCAGGUUUUGACAUCCGAAUCCCUGGGACUUUGCAGAUGUGAUUCAGUUUAGGAUUUUGAGAUGGGGAGAUUAUCUGGGAGAGCCUGAUGUCAUCAUAAGGUUCUUAUAAGAGGGAGGCAGGAGGGUUAGAGUGAGUAGUAAGAGAUGCAACAGUGGAAGCAAGAGGUUGGGGUGAUGUGGCCACAAGCCCAGGAGUGCUGACAGACAUCAGAAGCUGGAAGGGACAAGGAAUGGUUUCUCCUCUGGAGCCUCCAGAAAGAACCAGCCCUGCUGACACCUUGAUUUUAGCCUUGGAAGACUCAUUUUGGACUUCUGACCUUGAACGUUGUAAGAGAAUAAAUUUACAUAUUUUAAACUGGUA